Haliotis rubra (blacklip abalone) is the source of this 118-nucleotide long non-coding RNA. RefSeq lists it as uncharacterized. The transcript has 3 exons. The record is from RefSeq and is a predicted model, not a curated record. NCBI's taxonomy places the organism in Eukaryota, Metazoa, Mollusca, Gastropoda, Lepetellida, Haliotidae.
CACAAGGAAGCAUGUCUGUCUACAGAUGAUUCUGCUAGUAUAAUGGGAAUUAUGUACACAAGGAAGCAUGUCUGUCUAAAGGUGAUCCUGCUAGUAUAAUGGGAAUUAUGUACACAAG